RNAcentral lists this unclassified non-coding RNA (335 nucleotides) under Hevea brasiliensis (rubber tree). Lineage: Eukaryota; Viridiplantae; Streptophyta; Magnoliopsida; Malpighiales; Euphorbiaceae. The record is from RNAcentral.
GCCCUCCCUCUCACUCAAGCAGUAGCUCGUCGCCAGUUGUCGCACGUUUGAUGUUUCGCCCCAGUCGUCAUUCGUCAGCUGCCAUCGGGAAGCGCACAUCACGUUCGCCAGAGACUUCAUAAGCUGCCAACGCCAUGGGUUUCGUUCCAACCGGAUGUUUACCGCUCGCGUUCAGCCACUGAAUGCUAUCUCUUCGUCCCGAGAUCAUGCCGCCCACCGUUGCGCACCACUUCCAGCCAUCGCGUAGCCUUCUAUCGCCAUCGUCUCUUUGUGUUUUCACCAAAAUCUUAGAUAUUUUUUGGGCAAGUUUGGUGUUAUUCCAAAAUUGAACCCAA